RNAcentral lists this ribosomal RNA (549 nucleotides) under uncultured bacterium. RNAcentral describes it as "bacterial SSU rRNA". It matches the Rfam family "Bacterial small subunit ribosomal RNA", at positions 356 to 896 of the family's 1533-position model. The record is from RNAcentral.
AGGGAAUCUUCGGCAAUGGACGGAAGUCUGACCGAGCAACGUCGCGUGAGUGAAGAAGGUUUUCGGAUCGUAAAGCUCUGUUGUAAGAGAAGAACGAGUGUGAGAGUGGAAAGUUCACACUGUGACGGUAUCUUACCAGAAAGGGACGGCUAACUACGUGCCAGCAGCCGCGGUAAUACGUAGGUCCCGAGCGUUGUCCGGAUUUAUUGGGCGUAAAGCGAGCGCAGGCGGUUAGAUAAGUCUGAAGUUAAAGGCUGUGGCUUAACCAUAGUACGCUUUGGAAACUGUUUAACUUGAGUGCAAGAGGGGAGAGUGGAAUUCCAUGUGUAGCGGUGAAAUGCGUAGAUAUAUGGAGGAACACCGGUGGCGAAAGCGGCUCUCUGGCUUGUAACUGACGCUGAGGCUCGAAAGCGUGGGGAGCAAACAGGAUUAGAUACCCUGGUAGUCCACGCCGUAAACGAUGAGUGCUAGGUGUUAGACCCUUUCCGGGGUUUAGUGCCGUAGCUAACGCAUUAAGCACUCCGCCUGGGGAGUACGACCGCAAGGUUG